GUCCUCGUGGUGGUGCUGGUAACCCGGGGGAGAAAGGGGAUAGGGGUGUAUUCUCCACCCUGGGAAGACGAGGACCCACUGGACAGAAAGGUGACAAAGGGCAGCCGGGACGCCCAAGUACCUCUGGAAGUGGCAAUCCUGGACGACCCGGCGUAAUGGGAUUCCCUGGGGCUCCAGGGCCAAAGGGUGAUGCUGGGUUUGAGAUCCUAGGUCCAGCCGGCCUUAAAGGUUUCCCAGGUGGUGUUGGGGCCCAGGGCCCUCCUGGAGAUCCAGGAGUACUGGGCCGACCAGGGAGUCCGGGACCACCCGGCCUCAAUGGGUCCUCAGGCCCCAAAGGAAGUAAAGGUGUAGAUGGUUCCCAAGGACCUCCUGGUUACGCAGUUACUUGCUGUACUGAAGCCCCAACCGGACCACCAGGGCUGUCAGGCAGACCUGGACCCCCAGGUGAGCUGGUGAAGCCUGAAUGUUCCUAAUGUCUCUAACAUACAACUGGUUGUCUUCCUAAUGUC
This 509-nucleotide long non-coding RNA is filed under the name Salmo trutta (river trout). RNAcentral describes it as "lncRNA (ENSSTUG00000006010.1)". Lineage: Eukaryota; Metazoa; Chordata; Actinopteri; Salmoniformes; Salmonidae. The record is from RNAcentral.